CUCCAGCAGCGUCUCGUUUACAUUUGAGCACAAAAGUGUUCAAAGUCUCCUACAUUUGUUUUUGUACGGGACAUUGCACUUGCUUCCUGAGGGCGUUUGGACUUUUACUGCGGAAAAUGUAGACAUGGGUGAGCUGGAGCCAGUCUAGAGGAAUAUGUCCCACAGGGUCUUUGCACAGUAACGACUUGUGCAGUCACAAUUUUAAAUACUUUUCAAAAUACAGUAAAUAUUGGUAUGAAAUGGAUGAGGACCAAAGUAUUAGCCGCAGUCUGACUAUCGUGGAACUAAACACAACUGAGCAGAACAUAAGCGCAGGGAUGUGGGUGGAAACUGGAGUGCCCGGAGAAAACCCACACAGGCACGAGGAGAACAUGCAAAAUCCACACAGGAGGGGCCAGGAUCGAACCCGGGCCCUCAGAACUGUGAGGCCAACGCUUUAACAGCUGAUCCACCGUUCCGCCUAUAGUACAAUUCAUUUUACAAAACAAAAAAUAUGAAAAUAAGAGCAUUUAAGACAGAAAGUUGUUAUUGAGUAAUCCUUUUGAAGUGUGAUACUGAAACGUCAAGAGCUUUUAUUUAAUUAUGGUGUUCACAUGCAUGCUGAUGAUUGCACUUAUUGAUUAGCUAAUUCAAGGAGCAACACCAUAAUACUUACCCCUUACAUCCUUAAUGUUCUCUUUUCUUAAUUAGUGUGUCAAUAGCAUGACUUCCCCCGCAGAGGAGAAAAGCCCACAAUACAACCAAACACACAGUUCUUCAAGUGAAUAUGUUGCUUCAGCCGUUUGUUUCCAAAACUGCUCUAAUUGUCGUUUCCGUGUUAUACAUGCACAUGUUUUAAGUCGUUCCUUGUUCUAGUUAUUCAAAAGUACAGCACAACCCAAAAAAACAAUGGUGCAAAACUGGGCUGGUGUUCAACAAAGUGCACAUGGAUUACAGAGUCACACCACUAAAAAAGAAGCUGGUAGCGUUGUCGGGAUAGAGGAGUUCUGUGAUGUAUGGUGUCCCCAGGGCAUGAAAGGAUUUAUAAAUUAGGGGGAGAAGUUUAAAGACUACUCAGAUUUUGAUAGGGAGCCAGUAAAGAUUCUUCAGAGUGUGGGUGAUGUCUGGCGUCUACUCUUUCUAAGUAUGCAUGCAGGACAGUUGCACUUGUUGCAGUAGUCCAAAUGAGUAGGGAUUAAGGCAAAUUAAUUCUAACAUGCAUGCUUUGGAAUGUAGUAGAAUGUCAGAGUACCCAAAAAAAACACACACACACACACAGUCACAAGCACGGGGAGAACUCCUGACUGUGAGGAAAAACAUUCUAACCACUUCUUUCCCAUGGUUUGUUUCAGUGCCCAAUUCCUCUAUUUUACGACAUGUUAUUGUUCUUUGCUUACACUUUAGUUGUGAUUUACUGCGAUUGUGUUGCUGCUCUGUUUCAAUGGAUACACACCGUCCAGGUGGAAUGAUGGCAACACUGACUAGUCAGCCUCUCCCACCCCUUUGGAUUUUCCACAAAUUAGGAGCUCUGGUUGUACUUCUUGCAUGAAAAGUAUUAAACAUAGCCCUUGUCAAAUUAGGUUAUAAAAAAAUUUCUAAGUUGAGUUUAAAAGGAAAAUCUUGCUGAGUGUGAAUGAAGCAACGAAACAAAGGUGAGGAAGCCUGCAACAGUUUUUUUCAAACAGAGGGAGAAAAUGAUGCUUUAAUCCCAUUUUAGGGAAUGUAGCUCACAUAAAAACAAUGACCAAAACAUGAAAAUCUGAUAUAAUUCUGAAAGAAAACUCUCAGAUCUGAAAUAAAUGGAAGAGUUUACGUCAACUGGUUACUGAAUGAGAGAUGGUCCCUUUUUGUAUGCUGGACGGGAAAUCUUUGAUCUGGAUUCCGUCACGGAAGCAUGUGAAUGUUGACUGCAUCAAGUUUAUUACAGCUUCGGUUCCUAAAGCGCAGCCAGACUGCAGCGGACCAUCAAAAGAAUUAUGAUACCUUCGGUGACAAGAGGAAUCAUGUAAUACAUGUUAGGCCUGACCUUUCCACUCCAUCCUUAUUGAUUGAAUACAGAGCCUCAUAUUAUAUUGGGUACUGGCUCCUAUUUCACUCCAAGUGCUCCCUCCUCUUUUUUAUUUCUUUCUUGGGUUACAUCCUUACUUGGAACGUCCCGUGUUUCCUGACAAUAACCAUCUGAGCAUUAUAUGCUCACCUACACACAUUAUACAUACUUGGCUCGAGACCUUUGAAUUUUUGCUUUACCAACAUGACACAAAAUCUAUGCAUUCAGCACCAUAUCAGGAUUCCUCCGUGGAACCGAUGAAGUAUCGUUUCAGAAUGGAAAAUGGUCACAAGACAGCACAGUACUGUAAAGGUACACAAAACGAACCCAAGUGUCGGGAUAGCUCGCCAUGACAACAGGAGGAAGUGAAAAUUGACCCCAAAAAGUA
Syngnathoides biaculeatus (alligator pipefish) is the source of this 2414-nucleotide long non-coding RNA. RefSeq lists it as uncharacterized. The transcript is spliced from 3 exons. The record is from RefSeq and is a predicted model, not a curated record. Lineage: Eukaryota; Metazoa; Chordata; Actinopteri; Syngnathiformes; Syngnathidae.